CGGACCGCUAGCUAGCUAGCUGUUCAGCUCAUUCUCUGUAAGCGAUGCAGGAUAAAAGCAUGGCGGAACCAGCAAGCCAACCAGCUGGUGUUAGUUAGCGAACGUUAGCUUGCUAACUCCGCCUUAACGUUACCCCCUCACCACAUCGUUAACAGAAAACGAGCCGAAAAAGCUGUCACUCGUGGCGAUGGCAGUGUGCUUUGUGUGGAGGAAGCAUGAAGUUAAUUUGACUCAUUUAGCGGCUGGCUCUCUGCCUCGUAACGUUACUACUCCACUGCUCGUUUUUCCGUCGUUAUUGUAAAACUUCAGCUCCGCGACUUGCCGGAUUAAAUAUCAGUUAAUAAUCAACUGUAAAGUAGCUACACCUUUUAAAGGAUCCCUUGGUAAAUCAGCCUCUGCCGGGUAUAAAGUGAAAUUGUAGAAAAGUGACUUUUGUGCAUGGACAAUUGAAACGUAAAUGUAAGUACAAUGUACAAGUGCCUCAAGAAGUUAAUGUAGAGCCCUGACUAAGUUAGCAUGAGUUAGUUCAUGCUUACAGCUGUUAACUAAUAAUGACUGUACCUAACUUUAGUUGUUUGCGGUCAAAACACCGUGAUGUAGACAGUUUGAUGUCGGGAUAUUCCUACAUUCAGCCAGGUUUAUUGUCAAUAACUUUUGACUGAGAUCAUCACUAACGCAGCCAUAUUCUGUAAUCUGACAGAAAUUAUUCACCCUCUUGUAAUUGAUAGCAGAUACAAAUAAUGCAUAAUGUAAUGUGCUAGAUUACAUCACCAACGUUAUUCUGCAGUGCAAAACCCAUACAGACAAACUGUAUUGAACAGAAUUCUGUGGCCCUGUGGUCAAAACAACAAUCAGCAGACCUCCCCUGGUAACUGACUGUCACUUUAUUCUGGAAGCUUGUUACACAACCAGAUGUAAACAACCAUUUUAUGAACUAAAUCAUGUGGCACUGCAUGAAUAGCUAACAGUUCUGGAGAGUAAAUGUAUGAAUACAUGUAGUUAUACUAAACUACUAAAAAAAUGUGUACAUAUACAUUACAAAAUAAGUGUUUUGUAAGGCCAUGAAAUGUACAAAAAAAAUAUUAUUUGAAACCUAACCAAUACAUUUCUUUCUUUUCAUCAGUCUAUUUAGGUUGACUGCAUACCGGCAAUUUACCCUUUGGGCCAGAGGGCAUUUGGGGAAGAAGAACCGGAUUCCGAUUCCAGCCUGUGUUGUUGGCUCCAUCAGGGCUGUUUUUCCAUCCCUGGAAUAUCAUGGUUUUGAAUAUGCAUAUGAUGAAUUUUAAGUUGCAUUCAAUGUUUGCCAUUAAAGAGGAUUUAUUGUAAUAUUUCAUCAAGUGGUUUAAUGGGCAUUUAAAUUAUAUUUAGUAGUUUUGAGAAGGAAUGUGAAUAUUUAACAGCAAUGCAGGUAAGUCAAGCUAGGUGGUUGAGGUACUGGCUCAGUAUACUGUGACCAUGGAUGUAAAGCCUUGUAUGUUUAAACAAUCACUCUAAUAGAGUAAAGACUAUAAUACACAUUUGAAAGUUUAACAUCAAAUAAUUAUUUUAUAGGCAUAGUGAUUAAAUGACAACAGCUUGUCUGACACUGAACUGUGCUCAGACUUGCACAAAUAAUGUACUUUAAAUAAUGGGAAAUUUACAAUGUAAAUCCAUAUAACUCAUUUAGAAAAAAAUGCUCUAAAUUAAUUAUAAUAUACAGUGUAAUCAUGGAACAAUUAAGGAAAUUAACAAUCAAGGAAAAAACAAUUUUGACAAGGAUAGUGUUAGUCACUUUAACAUGUUACUAAACUUUGUGUUUUUCUUUCUGCUCUUCCUCAGUCAGGGUUUGUUACUUUGUUACGGGACUGUGAGGAUGCAAAUCUGUUCAGAUGCAUGGCAACAGACACCGCUUUCUCUGGUUUUUCCACACCUUUGUGCUGGGCCAGCGUGAUAACAGUCUCUGUUUUCAGCUCCUGCAAUGUUGCCCGGAUGGAUGUCGACUUGCACCUAUUGAUCACUCCUGCCACUAUGUUCUUCCUGAAGGUAUAAUCCUUGUCCACCUUCAGUGGGGUCACAACAUACUGUUGAGCAGACUUGGAGUACUGGUGUUUAUGUUGCUCUUCACCUUCUUUUGUUUUAGCUGUCUUCCGGUCCACAUUACUGUUGUGAUCCAUAGCAGCAACCCGCAGACGUGCCUCCAAACUCUCCCUCAGAAAUUUCUUCCUCUUUGUGGCGUACUUCGUGUACAGGGAGUGAAGACUCUCUAGCUGUCCUGUGUGAAUGCCCAGUGUGGUUUUCUCCACUUUCUUCAGGAGCUGCUUGUCAAGCACUAUCUUCUGCAGUUGCUGAAAGGCAGCAGAGCUAGGGAGGAGCCAUGGACGCUGACUCUCUUCCUCAGGGGUGUAGGUACGGUGCUCACACCUGGUCAUUGUCUCACCAGAUACCCAAUGGUGCACAUUGGUAAUGUGAUGCAGGAUUGAGAUCCACUUGUCUUUCAACUUAGUCACACUUCCCUCACAUGUUGUGACACAAAACCAGAGGUGGUUUGUGAUCAUUCUGAUCCAUUCAAACACCUCUUCGUUGUGGCACUGCAGCAGUCGUUUUUUGACAGACUUAACAAUGUGCCAGAGGUCAUAUUCAUGCUGUAUAGAUUUAUAUUCCUGACGCAUGACUUUCUGCACUGAUGGGUGGCAGUCGGUUGCCAAAACAGAUAUGGUCACACCAUAUUCUCCCAACUUGGAAAGGCACCUUUCCAUACCAUCCACCUCAAGCCAAUAACUGUUCUUCACCUCUGUGACUUGAACAGUUUCCUGUGCCACCACCAACUUCGACUUGAUGUCCAGGAGUGAGUAGGUUCCAUAUGAGGCGUUGUGACCUGGACUGUCAUAUCUGGAGUCUCCUGACACGAUGAGCCGCUCAUCACCUAAGGCACUCAGUACAGCCUCAUUGUGUACUGUCCAGGUAUUGUUGACCUCUGGGAUGACAUAGGCCUUCUGUAUGUUGAACCACUGUCUUUUUGAGAUGGUUUCCAGACCAAUGGUGUCGCACACCUCCAUGAAUGGACUGCACUCAUUUCCAGUAACAAAUACAGCAGCAGGUACAGACACAUUGCAUUCCAUAAUUCCUCUAACUAAAGGCUGAGAAUGCCACAUAAAAUCAUGGCCAUCAAUGCAUUCUGUGUUGAUCCUAAGCCCAAAUCCACUUUUGGAGACUGUCGGUGGCCUCACCAAACAUUUGCCACAGCCUUCCCAAUGACACACAUGAAAGAGCUUCAACAAUUCUCCUGUCGACACAAUACUUUUUCGCUCUUGUGAGACAUUUGUUUCCUCAUCCUCAACAUCACUGAAACUUUGAUCCUCAUCACUGAUGCUUUCCUCUCUACCCAACUCAAACUCAUCUUCACUGCAAUUAUCUUGACUCUCUUCCAUUAAACUUUCUACCUCAGACUCUUCACAGCCCUCACUGCUAAGUUCCAGAUCUUGCUGAGAUGACAGUGCCGUAGCUGGGGAGAAGCCUUCCACAGAAGUGGAUCGGUCUGGGUGCUGACACUGACUGUGGAGAGGAUGUGGACACUGCCUAUCUCCUGCUCUAUCUCCUUACAGAUGUCAGCUUCUGGGAAAUUGCUACUGGCCACCAGACGUAUGCAUGUCUGCCUAACCUGUAAACACAUUUACUGUUUUUAGGUACCCAACUGAUAUUGACAGCCUUAUCAUGGAAUACUUUGUACUCACAUCCUGACUAUUGGUUUAAAGCAUAUAAAAGAUUCUUAUACUGAAA
Molecule: long non-coding RNA, 3756 nt
Organism: Perca fluviatilis (European perch)
Lineage: Eukaryota; Metazoa; Chordata; Actinopteri; Perciformes; Percidae
Exons: 2
Source: RefSeq, a predicted model, not a curated record